This 1134-nucleotide ribosomal RNA is filed under the name uncultured Flavobacteriaceae bacterium. RNAcentral's name for it is "bacterial SSU rRNA". It matches the Rfam family "Bacterial small subunit ribosomal RNA", at positions 395 to 1533 of the family's 1533-position model. Lineage: Bacteria; Pseudomonadati; Bacteroidota; Flavobacteriia; Flavobacteriales; Flavobacteriaceae. The record is from RNAcentral.
UGCCGCGUGCAGGAUGAAUGCCCUAUGGGUUGUAAACUGCUUUUAUACAGGAAGAAACCUUUGUACGUGUACAAAGCUGACGGUACUGUAAGAAUAAGGAUCGGCUAACUCCGUGCCAGCAGCCGCGGUAAUACGGAGGAUCCAAGCGUUAUCCGGAAUUAUUGGGUUUAAAGGGUCCGUAGGUGGUUUAUUAAGUCAGAGGUGAAAUACUGCAGCUUAACUGUAGAACUGCCUUUGAAACUGAUAGACUUGAGUUAUUGUGAAGUAGUUAGAAUGUGUAGUGUAGCGGUGAAAUGCAUAGAUAUUACACAGAAUACCGAUUGCGAAGGCAGAUUACUAACAAUAUACUGACACUGAGGGACGAAAGCGUGGGUAGCGAACAGGAUUAGAUACCCUGGUAGUCCACGCCGUAAACGAUGGUCACUAGCUGUUUGAUGCACAUUGGUGUGUUGAGUGGCUAAGCGAAAGUGAUAAGUGACCCACCUGGGGAGUACGCUCGCAAGAGUGAAACUCAAAGGAAUUGACGGGGGCCCGCACAAGUGGUGGAGCAUGUGGUUUAAUUCGAUGAUACGCGAGGAACCUUACCAGGGCUUAAAUGUAAGUUGCAUAGGCCAGAAAUGAUCUUUUCUUCGGACCACUUACAAGGUGCUGCAUGGUUGUCGUCAGCUCGUGCCGUGAGGUGUCAGGUUAAGUCCUAUAACGAGCGCAACCCCUAUCGUUAGUUGCCAGCGGGUCAUGCCGGGAACUCUAAUGAGACUGCCGGUGCAAACCGAGAGGAAGGUGGGGAUGACGUCAAAUCAUCACGGCCCUUACGUCCUGGGCCACACACGUGCUACAAUGGCCGGUACAGAGAGCAGCCACUACGCGAGUAGGAGCGAAUCUUCAAAACCGGUCUCAGUUCGGAUCGCAGUCUGCAACUCGACUGCGUGAAGCUGGAAUCGCUAGUAAUCGGAUAUCAGCCAUGAUCCGGUGAAUACGUUCCCGGGCCUUGUACACACCGCCCGUCAAGCCAUGGAAGCUGGGAGUACCUGAAGUCGGUGACCGCAAGGAGCUGCCUAGGGUAAAACUAGUAACUGGGGCUAAGUCGUAACAAGGUAGCCGUACCGGAAGGUGCGGCUGGAACACCUCCUUUCU